UGGUGGAAAUAUGACUUUCUGC
Molecule: non-coding RNA, 22 nt
Filed under: Arabidopsis thaliana (thale cress)
Lineage: Eukaryota; Viridiplantae; Streptophyta; Magnoliopsida; Brassicales; Brassicaceae
Source: RNAcentral